UGUGAGCUCGAUGAGUAGGGCGGGACACGUGGUAUCCUGUCUGAAUAUGGGGGGACCAUCCUCCAAGGCUAAAUACUCCUGACUGACCGAUAGUGAACCAGUACCGUGAGGGAAAGGCGAAAAGAACCCCGGCGAGGGGAGUGAAAAAGAACCUGAAACCGUGUACGUACAAGCAGUGGGAGCCUCUUUAUGGGGUGACUGCGUACCUUUUGUAUAAUGGGUCAGCGACUUAUAUUCUGUAGCAAGGUUAACCGAAUAGGGGAGCCGAAGGGAAACCGAGUCUUAACUGGGCGUUAAGUUGCAGGGUAUAGACCCGAAACCCGGUGAUCUAGCCAUGGGCAGGUUGAAGGUUGGGUAACACUAACUGGAGGACCGAACCGACUAAUGUUGAAAAAUUAGCGGAUGACUUGUGGCUGGGGGUGAAAGGCCAAUCAAACCGGGAGAUAGCUGGUUCUCCCCGAAAGCUAUUUAGGUAGCGCCUCGUGAAUUCAUCUCCGGGGGUAGAGCACUGUUUCGGCAAGGGGGUCAUCCCGACUUACCAACCCGAUGCAAACUGCGAAUACCGGAGAAUGUUAUCACGGGAGACACACGGCGGGUGCUAACGUCCGUCGUGAAGAGGGAAACAACCCAGACCGCCAGCUAAGGUCCCAAAGUCAUGGUUAAGUGGGAAACGAUGUGGGAAGGCCCAGACAGCCAGGAUGUUGGCUUAGAAGCAGCCAUCAUUUAAAGAAAGCGUAAUAGCUCACUGGUCGAGUCGGCCUGCGCGGAAGAUGUAACGGGGCUAAACCAUGCACCGAAGCUGCGGCAGCGACGCUUAUGCGUUGUUGGGUAGGGGAGCGUUCUGUAAGCCUGUGAAGGUGUGCUGUGAGGCAUGCUGGAGGUAUCAGAAGUGCGAAUGCUGACAUAAGUAACGAUAAAGCGGGUGAAAAGCCCGCUCGCCGGAAGACCAAGGGUUCCUGUCCAACGUUAAUCGGGGCAGGGUGAGUCGACCCCUAAGGCGAGGCCGAAAGGCGUAGUCGAUGGGAAACAGGUUAAUAUUCCUGUACUUGGUGUUACUGCGAAGGGGGGACGGAGAAGGCUAUGUUGGCCGGGCGACGGUUGUCCCGGUUUAAGCGUGUAGGCUGAUUUUCCAGGCAAAUCCGGAAAAUCAAGGCUGAGGCGUGAUGACGAGGCACUACGGUGCUGAAGCAACAAAUGCCCUGCUUCCAGGAAAAGCCUCUAAGCAUCAGGUAACAUCAAAUCGUACCCCAAACCGACACAGGUGGUCAGGUAGAGAAUACCAAGGCGCUUGAGAGAACUCGGGUGAAGGAACUAGGCAAAAUGGUGCCGUAACUUCGGGAGAAGGCACGCUGAUAUGUAGGUGAAGCGACUUGCUCGUGGAGCUGAAAUCAGUCGAAGAUACCAGCUGGCUGCAACUGUUUAUUAAAAACACAGCACUGUGCAAACACGAAAGUGGACGUAUACGGUGUGACGCCUGCCCGGUGCCGGAAGGUUAAUUGAUGGGGUUAGCGGCAACGCGAAGCUCUUGAUCGAAGCCCCGGUAAACGGCGGCCGUAACUAUAACGGUCCUAAGGUAGCGAAAUUCCUUGUCGGGUAAGUUCCGACCUGCACGAAUGGCGUAAUGAUGGCCAGGCUGUCUCCACCCGAGACUCAGUGAAAUUGAACUCGCUGUGAAGAUGCAGUGUACCCGCGGCAAGACGGAAAGACCCCGUGAACCUUUACUAUAGCUUGACACUGAACAUUGAGCCUUGAUGUGUAGGAUAGGUGGGAGGCUUUGAAGUGUGGACGCCAGUCUGCAUGGAGCCGACCUUGAAAUACCACCCUUUAAUGUUUGAUGUUCUAACGUUGGCCCGUAAUCCGGGUUGCGGACAGUGUCUGGUGGGUAGUUUGACUGGGGCGGUCUCCUCCUAAAGAGUAACGGAGGAGCACGAAGGUUGGCUAAUCCUGGUCGGACAUCAGGAGGUUAGUGCAAUGGCAUAAGCCAGCUUGACUGCGAGCGUGACGGCGCGAGCAGGUGCGAAAGCAGGUCAUAGUGAUCCGGUGGUUCUGAAUGGAAGGGCCAUCGCUCAACGGAUAAAAGGUACUCCGGGGAUAACAGGCUGAUACCGCCCAAGAGUUCAUAUCGACGGCGGUGUUUGGCACCUCGAUGUCGGCUCAUCACAUCCUGGGGCUGAAGUAGGUCCCAAGGGUAUGGCUGUUCGCCAUUUAAAGUGGUACGCGAGCUGGGUUUAGAACGUCGUGAGACAGUUCGGUCCCUAUCUGCCGUGGGCGCUGGAGAACUGAGGGGGGCUGCUCCUAGUACGAGAGGACCGGAGUGGACGCAUCACUGGUGUUCGGGUUGUCAUGCCAAUGGCACUGCCCGGUAGCUAAAUGCGGAAGAGAUAAGUGCUGAAAGCAUCUAAGCACGAAACUUGCCCCGAGAUGAGUUCUCCCUGACUCCUUGAGAGUCCUGAAGGAACGUUGAAGACGACGACGUUGAUAGGCCGGGUGUGUAAGCGCAGCGAUGCGUUGAGCUAACCGGUACUAAUGAACCGUGAGGCUUAACCUU
RNAcentral lists this ribosomal RNA (2548 nucleotides) under Escherichia coli. Its description in RNAcentral is "partial 23S ribosomal RNA". It matches the Rfam family "Bacterial large subunit ribosomal RNA", at positions 398 to 2925 of the family's 2925-position model. The record is from RNAcentral. Lineage: Bacteria; Pseudomonadati; Pseudomonadota; Gammaproteobacteria; Enterobacterales; Enterobacteriaceae.